UACGAAGGGGGCUAGCGUUGUUCGGAAUUACUGGGCGUAAAGGGCGCGUAGGCGGCUCGUCAAGUCAGGCGUGAAAGCCCUGGGCUUAACCUGGGAACUGCGUUUGAGACUGGCGGGCUCGAGUUCGGGAGAGGCGGGGGUGGAAUUCCCAGUGUAGAGGUGAAAUUCGUAGAUAUUGGGAAGAACACCGGUGGCGAAGGCGGCCCGCUGGACCGACACUGACGCUGAGGCGCGAAAGCGUGGGGAGCAAACAGG
Molecule: ribosomal RNA, 255 nt
Filed under: uncultured bacterium
Lineage: Bacteria
Description: partial 16S ribosomal RNA
Rfam family: Bacterial small subunit ribosomal RNA
Source: RNAcentral